Molecule: transfer RNA, 91 nt
Filed under: Intestinimonas massiliensis (ex Afouda et al. 2020)
Lineage: Bacteria; Bacillati; Bacillota; Clostridia; Eubacteriales
Description: tRNA-Ser
Rfam family: tRNA
About the family: Transfer RNA (tRNA) molecules are approximately 80 nucleotides in length. Their secondary structure includes four short double-helical elements and three loops (D, anti-codon, and T loops).
Source: RNAcentral
GGAGGAGUACCCAAGUGGUGAAGGGACCGCUCUCGAAAAGCGGCAGGUCGGUGUUCCCGGCGCGUGGGUUCGACCCCCACCUCCUCCGCCA